RNAcentral lists this ribosomal RNA (723 nucleotides) under Triticum aestivum (bread wheat). RNAcentral's name for it is "partial small subunit ribosomal RNA". Lineage: Eukaryota; Viridiplantae; Streptophyta; Magnoliopsida; Poales; Poaceae. The record is from RNAcentral.
AUGCCUAACCUGACCCAUCUGACUCUUGAAUUCAUUAGACUCGAUGACGAGGACCUGAGCAAGCUGAAUGAAUGCUUCCCUUGCCUUCAGGUUCUCAAUCUUAUCAGAGUCGGGGGUCUCAAAAACCCCAAGAUUCACCUCUCUCAAUUGAAGUGUGUUCAACCAGAUAUCCUCAUUUUAGACACUCCUUCCGUGUCUACUCUGAAGCUGACCAUUGAUAAACUCGGUCCAACUGUCCAAGUUGACGGCCUAGCGAGUUUGAAAAAUCUUCGAAUCGAGUCCUCGGAGCUGAACUCCCUCCUGCAGCUGUUUGCAAGUGAUUGGGAUAUCAGGACAUUAGAUCUUGAGCUACCAGUUUCUGUGGACUGCAUGGACCUUUACUAUGAGGUGAAGCCAGACUACCUUGUCCAAUUGUUCUCCAGAAUCACUGAAGUGAAGCUGUCACCAAGGUUUUCAUGUGCACUGAUGAGCCUCCUAUGCCUCUGUACGAAUCAUGAGUCUGCAGGCCGUUUGGAGAAACUUCUGGUCCAUCUACCGGCAUCGGACAUCACUUCUUGUCCGUUCGUGCCGUUGCUUAGUGUGGGCGCGCCGUCGUGCGAGGUGACUGUUCUUUUCCAUGCUGAUACCAGCGAUGCUGUUCGUCAAGCUGCUGCAUCAGUCUGGCCACCAUUUGUUCGGGGACUCCCAAGGUUUCCGGAGAUCACAUGGCGAUGGGGUACUUGA